Molecule: ribosomal RNA, 270 nt
Filed under: uncultured bacterium
Lineage: Bacteria
Description: partial 16S ribosomal RNA
Rfam family: Bacterial small subunit ribosomal RNA
Source: RNAcentral
GUCCAUGCGGUAAACGUUGGAUACUAGGUGUCGGGGGUAUCGACCCCCUCGGCGCCGCAGUUAACACAUUAAGUAUCCCGCCCUGGGGAGGUACGAUCGCAAGAUUGAAACUCAAAGGAAAUUGACGGGGGGCCCGGCACAAGCGGUGGAGUAUGUGGUUUAAUUCGAGGCAACGCGAAGAACCUUACCUGGGUUUGACAUGCAUUAGACUGCCGGUGAGAGUCGGCUUUCCCGCAAGGGACUGGUGCACAGGUUCUGCAUGGCUGUCGU